Molecule: non-coding RNA, 815 nt
Filed under: Enterobacter hormaechei
Lineage: Bacteria; Pseudomonadati; Pseudomonadota; Gammaproteobacteria; Enterobacterales; Enterobacteriaceae
Description: antisense RNA of rseC mRNA
Rfam family: antisense RNA of rseC mRNA
Source: RNAcentral
CCUGGGCUGCCAUUUCACGAUCAGACAGGCCACCGCAAAUCUGGAUAAUACGGUCAGACAGCGUCGACUUACCGUGGUCAAUGUGAGCAAUGAUCGAAAAGUUACGUAUGUUCUUCAUAUAGUUAAAUAAUUAUGCCUUACGAAUUCCUGGAGGCCGCUGUUCUUAGCCUGACGUUUUUCAGUGCGAAAACGCAGCAUUCUACACUACAUCCUCGUCAGCUGGAAAUGCACUUAGAGCCAGGUAUAGCGCGAAGAGACGGCGUUUUCUUUAUUGCGAUGUAAAUAAUAAUAAAGCCCGGCAGAUUACCGGGCCUCAGAAGAGAGCGUCUCAACACGAAGUUGGUCGGGUGCCAGUGCAACGCUGAGGAUAACGGGCUGCCACGCUUCCCGGGCGGCAAGCCUUGGGGAAACGCCUUUAGCAAGCCAGAACCCGCCCACGCCGCCCAAAGCGGCCCCGCACAUGGCGGCCAAAUCUGUGCCGAACAGCAUCUGGAAAACCCCGCCCAUCACGAACAGACCUGCCAGCGGAGAAAGGUAAACCAGCAUGGCGGAAGUGAGCAGGCUACCUUCAGCGAUGCCCAGCUCCACUUUUUGCCCUGCCACCAGCGGCUGAUCGCUCGGCACAGCAAUAGUGUGCGACGUUUGCGGCCCCAGCUUAUUCAACACGCGGCUGCCGCAACCGGCUCGCGAAGCGCAGCUGCUGCAUGAUGCUUUAACGUCACAGCUGACAAGCGCUACGCCAUCCUGCCAGGAUACGACCGUGGCCCACUCUUUAAUCAUUGCGCAGCCCUGAAUUUAAUGCUGUCUGAAAUACG